UAGGGAAUCUUCGGCAAUGGACGGAAGUCUGACCGAGCAACGCCGCGUGAGUGAAGAAGGUUUUCGGAUCGUAAAGCUCUGUUGUUAGAGAAGAACGUUGGUAGGAGUGGAAAAUCUACCAAGUGACGGUAACUAACCAGAAAGGGACGGCUAACUACGUGCCAGCAGCCGCGGUAAUACGUAGGUCCCGAGCGUUGUCCGGAUUUAUUGGGCGUAAAGCGAGCGCAGGCGGUUCUUUAAGUCUGAAGUUAAAGGCAGUGGCUUAACCAUUGUACGCUUUGGAAACUGGAGGAAUUGAGUGCAGAAGGGGAGAGUGGAAUUCCAGGUGUAACGGUGAAAUGCGUAGAUAUAUGGAGGAACACCGGUGGCGAAAGCGGCGCUCUGGUCAGUAACUGACGCUGAGGCUCGAAAGCGGGGGGAGCAAACAGG
Molecule: ribosomal RNA, 429 nt
Filed under: Bacillota bacterium
Lineage: Bacteria; Bacillati; Bacillota
Description: Firmicutes bacterium partial 16S ribosomal RNA
Rfam family: Bacterial small subunit ribosomal RNA
Source: RNAcentral